This is a non-coding RNA of Poecilia reticulata (guppy), 236 nucleotides long. NCBI's taxonomy places the organism in Eukaryota, Metazoa, Chordata, Actinopteri, Cyprinodontiformes, Poeciliidae. The record is from RefSeq and is a predicted model, not a curated record.
CAGGGAUAUGGAGGAAAUGUGCAGAUGUUGUUAAACUGUUCUCAUCUUUGCUCUCCAUGGUGAUUUCCACAGAGUCCUCUUUUUGCAGGUUGUUGGUGAGCUUGAGAGUGUCAAACGACACUGUCUGCUUCAUCCACUGGGCUCCAGGGGCCGGGAUGAAGUCCAUGAGCAGAACAUACUCGGCUGAAGGAUCCAUUCCAGAGAUUCUCACCUGAAAUGUUGGAAACAUCCUCCUA